This 254-nucleotide ribosomal RNA is filed under the name uncultured bacterium. RNAcentral describes it as "partial 16S ribosomal RNA". It matches the Rfam family "Bacterial small subunit ribosomal RNA", at positions 524 to 776 of the family's 1533-position model. The record is from RNAcentral.
UACGUAGGGUGCGAGCGUUAAUCGGAAUUACUGGGCGUAAAGCGUGCGCAGGCGGUUCGUUGUGUCGGCGGUGAAAGCCCCGGGCUUAACCUGGGAAUGGCCGUUGAAACUGGCGAACUGGAGUGUGGCAGAGGGGGGUGGAAUUCCGGCGUGUAGCAGUGAAAUGUGUAGAGAUGUGGAGGAAUACCAAUGGCGAAGGCAGCCCCCUGGGAUAAUAUUGACGCUCAUGCACGAAAGCGUGGGGAGCAAACAGG